GACGAACGCUGGCGGCGUGCCUAAUACAUGCAAGUAGAACGCUGAAGAGAGGAGCUUGCUCUUCUUGGAUGAGUUGCGAACGGGUGAGUAACGCGUAGGUAACCUGCCUUGUAGCGGGGGAUAACUAUUGGAAACGAUAGCUAAUACCGCAUAACAAUGAGUGACACAUGUCAUUUAUUUGAAAGGGGCAAUUGCUCCACUACAAGAUGGACCUGCGUUGUAUUAGCUAGUAGGUGAGGUAACGGCUCACCUAGGCGACGAUACAUAGCCGACCUGAGAGGGUGAUCGGCCACACUGGGACUGAGACACGGCCCAGACUCCUACGGGAGGCAGCAGUAGGGAAUCUUCGGCAAUGGGGGCAACCCUGACCGAGCAACGCCGCGUGAGUGAAGAAGGUUUUCGGAUCGUAAAGCUCUGUUGUAAGUCAAGAACGAGUGUGAGAGUGGAAAGUUCACACUGUGACGGUAGCUUACCAGAAAGGGACGGCUAACUACGUGCCAGCAGCCGCGGUAAUACGUAGGUCCCGAGCGUUGUCCGGAUUUAUUGGGCGUAAAGCGAGCGCAGGCGGUUUGAUAAGUCUGAAGUUAAAGGCUGUGGCUCAACCAUAGUUCGCUUUGGAAACUGUCAAACUUGAGUGCAGAAGGGGAGAGUGGAAUUCCAUGUGUAGCGGUGAAAUGCGUAGAUAUAUGGAGGAACACCGGUGGCGAAAGCGGCUCUCUGGUCUGUAACUGACGCUGAGGCUCGAAAGCGUGGGGGAGCGAACAGG
RNAcentral lists this ribosomal RNA (766 nucleotides) under uncultured Streptococcus sp. RNAcentral's name for it is "bacterial SSU rRNA". It matches the Rfam family "Bacterial small subunit ribosomal RNA", at positions 28 to 776 of the family's 1533-position model. Lineage: Bacteria; Bacillati; Bacillota; Bacilli; Lactobacillales; Streptococcaceae. The record is from RNAcentral.